Non-coding RNA from Triticum aestivum (bread wheat), 122 nucleotides. Lineage: Eukaryota; Viridiplantae; Streptophyta; Magnoliopsida; Poales; Poaceae. The record is from Rfam.
UUUAUACUUCCUUCGUCCCAAAAUUCUUGUCAUAGAUUUGUCCAAAUACGGAUGUAUCUACUUAGAUACAUCCGUAUCUAGACAAAUCUAAGACAAGAAUUUUGAGACGGAGGGAGUAUUAU